GAUGAACGCUGGCGGCGUGCCUAAUACAUGCAAGUCGAACGAACAGACGAUGAUCUUGCUGCUCUGACGUUAGCGGCGGGCGUGUGAGUAACACGUGUAUAACCUACCUAUAAGACUGGGAUAACUUCGGGAAACCGGAUCUAAUACCGGAUAAUAUAUUGAACCGCAUGGGUCAAUGGUAAAAUACGGUUGUUGGGUCACUUAUAGAUGGUUCCCCGCCGCAUUGGCUGGUUGGUAAGGUAAAGGCCUACGAAGGCAACGAUGCGUAGCCGACCUGAGAGGGUGGUCGGCCACCCUGGAACUGAGACACGGUCCAGACGACUACGGGAGGCAGCAGUAGGGAAUCGUACGCAAUGGGCGAAAGAUUGACGGAGCAACGCGGAGUGAGUGAUGACGGUCUUCGGAUCGUAAAACUCUGUUAUGGGGGAAGAACAAAUGUGUAAGUAAACAUGGCCGUCUUGACGGUAACUAAUAAGAAAGCACCGGCUAACUACGUG
RNAcentral lists this ribosomal RNA (497 nucleotides) under uncultured bacterium. Its description in RNAcentral is "partial 16S ribosomal RNA". It matches the Rfam family "Bacterial small subunit ribosomal RNA", at positions 28 to 507 of the family's 1533-position model. The record is from RNAcentral.